CAUUGACCUUUUAAGACCUAACGGAGAUGUCUGACCGUUCUGCUGAUGUGACCGUUACGGUAUGCCACGUGAUGGUGCGAAAUAGUUAAGGGACAAAAUAGUCCCUACGCCAAAAACGACACCUUUCGCGUCUCCCUCCCACGAUCUUCUUUUUGCUUUUCUACAUUUUCUUACUGAAAAGUCACAGUAAUACUUUGUUCUUCCUUCAAAAAGAAAGUCCCAGUUUCUUCCUUGUUGCGUGGUGGUGAAGUCCUUGAAGGAGAAGGUGAAGGGAUUGCAUUGUUUGGUUGUCAUCUCUCUUCGUCUACAAAGAUGGAUGAUCACUAUGUGGUGCCAGUUUUCUAUCAUAGGGGUAAUUUUAUUAGAAGAGGUGGAAGUGAGCUUGUUUAUGUGCAUGGUAAGGUAGAGAAGUUUUUGAAGAUGGACAUUGAUUUUAUUAACUUCGAAGACUUGAUAACCUUAUUCAAGGGCCUAGGAUAUCAAUCAUACAAGACUGUCUACUGUAGCCAUUCCUACUACAACAAGGCUGUUGAAGUUUAUUCCCAAUCCAUCAUCCAACAAUGCAGAGUGAAGAAUUGUGUCUCUCAUUCUGUUUAGGUUUAAUGUGUUUUCUUGUAAUGGUUUAGGGCAAACUUGAGAAUUGCCUUUUAUGGUAUUUGUUUUGUGUUGUUUUAUUUUGGUCAAAGUAAACUUGUUAGAUGGUACCAUGUAAUUUAGCAAAUUACGUUAUUAGCAAACUUGUUUGUUCUUUUGAAA
Non-coding RNA from Arachis ipaensis, 756 nucleotides. The record is from RefSeq and is a predicted model, not a curated record. NCBI's taxonomy places the organism in Eukaryota, Viridiplantae, Streptophyta, Magnoliopsida, Fabales, Fabaceae.